Molecule: long non-coding RNA, 211 nt
Filed under: Elaeis guineensis (African oil palm)
Lineage: Eukaryota; Viridiplantae; Streptophyta; Magnoliopsida; Arecales; Arecaceae
Description: long non-coding RNA (EGUI_LNC026203)
Source: RNAcentral
GAUAUACUAUCAUUUGAAGUUGAGCUUGUUGUCGAACUUUUGAAAGUAGAUCUAGAUCAGCUCUUCGAUAUUUUGAAUUACUCAGCUCACUGUAUUGUUUUACCUUUGCUGAUGGUAAUCUGAUCUCAAGUGGGAUCAUUACUUCUGUUCUAUAAGUCAAAUUGAAUGGUGAUCUCUCGUUAGUAUAUGAGAAAUCGUUCGAUAUGCCCAU